Molecule: long non-coding RNA, 261 nt
Filed under: Marmota monax (woodchuck)
Lineage: Eukaryota; Metazoa; Chordata; Mammalia; Rodentia; Sciuridae
Source: RNAcentral
AGAGACCGAAAAUAAAUGCACAGGCUGCCCCACCCUCCUCCCUAACUGUGAGAGAGCACUAUAGGGUUUCCAUUUGCCGUCCACAGGAAUGCUGGCCUGUGAGCUGAAAGCCGGGAAAUGCUUAAAGACUACGUUAGCGCGUCCCAGCUGAUAAUUUAUAUUUGUACAGCUCUUAGUAAAAUUUAGACAAUUUCUUUACUUGGGAACAUCUAUAGAUUAGGUGUCUUUCUUUCCCCAUCGCACCCUAAAGGAAGUUAAAUG